UAGUGGAUUUCUUUGAACCCACAUGGCC
Molecule: non-coding RNA, 28 nt
Filed under: Mus musculus (house mouse)
Lineage: Eukaryota; Metazoa; Chordata; Mammalia; Rodentia; Muridae
Source: RNAcentral